GAAAGAGGAGGAUGUUGGCCAAUUGAUACCUGUAGUAUGAGGGGUGGCCGUGAUUGAAUGUUUUUAGCAGUGGUUGUGAAAUGAAAUGUUGUCCAUUGUGAUUUUGAUAUUAGUACAUAAAUGGAAUGGUUUAAAAGUCUUACAGCUGAUAUAGAUAUGGUUAUUACCCCGAAUAUCAUUUCAUUUGUUGAAGUUGAUAUUACGAUCGAUUGAACAUGGAUAUCAUCACUAGAUGAUAUAUGAUUGAUAUGAAAUUCUCCCUCCAUGUUGAGGUUGUAGAUUGCUCCCUCUUCUGUUGAAAUCAUAUCACAGAUUGAGGUUGUAUAUUGCUCCCUCUUCUGUUGAAAUAAUAUCACAGAUUGAGGUUGUAGAUAGCAGGUCUAGAUGUGCACAUUAGACAUUGAUGGCCCUCGGAAUUGACUCUAUAAAAGCUGUAAAGACUACAUUAUGAAUUUAUGAUUUCAUGGUAUUGUUAUGUUUUCUUUAUUUCCUUUAACAUGGUGGUUUAUGAAUUAUAAUUCGUUAUUGUUAAAAAGAAAAAAAAAAUAGUACACCACUAAGCCAUAUGCUUAGCGAUAGUUGCUUUUGUACUAUCGCAG
Molecule: long non-coding RNA, 599 nt
Filed under: Jatropha curcas
Lineage: Eukaryota; Viridiplantae; Streptophyta; Magnoliopsida; Malpighiales; Euphorbiaceae
Description: long non-coding RNA (JCUR_LNC000353)
Source: RNAcentral